Molecule: non-coding RNA, 1336 nt
Organism: Callithrix jacchus (white-tufted-ear marmoset)
Lineage: Eukaryota; Metazoa; Chordata; Mammalia; Primates; Cebidae
Source: RefSeq, a predicted model, not a curated record
AUGAGUAUGCUCAGGCUUCAGAAGAGGCUCACCUCUAGUGUCCUCCUCUGUGGCAAGGAGAAGAUCUGGUUGGACCCCAAUGAGAACAAUGAAAUUGCCACUACCAACUCCGUCAGCAGAUCUGAAGCUGAUCAAAGAUGGACUGAUCAUCCUUAAGUCUGUGACAGUCCAUUCUCAGGCUCGAUGUUGGAAAAACACCUUGGCCCACCAGAAGGGCAGGCACAUGAGUAUAGGUAAGCGAAAGGGUAGCCAAUGCCCGAAUGCCAGAGAAGGUCACUUGGAUGAGAACGAGGAUUCUGCACUGGCUGCUCAGAAGAUACCAUGAAUCUAAGAAGAUUGAUCACCACAUGUAUCAAAGCCUGUACCUGGAGGUGAAGGGGAAAGCGUUCAAAAACAAGCGCAUGGAACACAUCCACAGCCGAAGGCAGACAAGGCCGUCAAGAAGCUCCUGGCUGACCAGGCUGAGGCCUGUAGGUCUAAGAUCACGGAAGCACGCAAGUGCCUUGAAGAGCGCCUCCAGGCCAAGAAGGAGGAGAUCAUCAAGACUUUGUCCAAGGAGGAAGAGACUAAGAAAUAAAAGCUCCCCCUUUGUCUGUACAUACUGGCCUCUGUGAUUACACAGAUCAGCCAUUAAAAUAAAACAAGCCUAAAAAAAACCCACAAAACAGAAAUGCAGAUGAAAUUGGAGAGACAGAUGGACAUAUCUUCGUGAUGGGACCCUCAGUGGACUUGGUGACUCACCCAGGAGCCAGAGUGAAAUGAGAAAAGAGAAUGAAUUCCAGGUUUUGGCCCCAGCUAGCUGACAGAACAAUACCAUGAGAACAAAUGUAAGAAAUUUCAAAAGCAAAACUGGCUUUUGUAGAAGACUAAUGGUUUUAGAUAUUUUAUUUAGGUGACAUUAUUGGAAUGUCAGAUGGAAAUAUUUAGCAGCUAAUGUGAAAUGUACAUCUGAACAAUUAAUUUCAAAGAGGGGGAUCUAAAAGUUUUCUGUUGAGGUGAGAGCUGAGGUCAUGACAGUGAGUGAAUGAGUCACCAAGAAAGAGAGAUGAUAUUCCCAGGACUUAGGGUCAAUCCAUUGGUGCUAAUUACGGACCACGUGGCUCUGCGUAUGCCAUUUAAGGGCUCUAACCUUGUGUCCUCAAUUCUGUAAAGGGCUAACCGCAUCCAAAAUAUUAUUAUGGCAAGAUAUGGGUGAAAGUGAUUUGUAAAUCAAUAAGGACAAUGCAAAUUAAGGCUUUUGGUGAAGGAUGACAGCUGCCUGAGGAGUGAACACUGGGGUUAUGACCUUGCCUUUUCAUCUCAUCAGUACACACCCACUCAUGCUUUAGAUUUCAGC